Molecule: long non-coding RNA, 461 nt
Organism: Etheostoma cragini (Arkansas darter)
Lineage: Eukaryota; Metazoa; Chordata; Actinopteri; Perciformes; Percidae
Exons: 3
Source: RefSeq, a predicted model, not a curated record
UAAAUGUACUGACUGACAUUUUUUCUGCUCUUUCCUGUUUACAGUCUGUGAUGGGAGUGCUACUUUGUGAAGGAAUGACACAAUUCAGGAGUAAGACCUCAUAGGUCCUGGUCAGUCAACCAAACUAUUUAAGGUUAUGGUUGAUGAAUUGAUUGAAAUAAAUGGAUUCUGUCUGAUGACCGCAAGCCGAAAGAGAAAUGCAACAUGAUUGGUCCAUGGGAGGUCUUCACAAGCGUCGGGGAGUAGAAGAGCGGUGCGAUAACCAGCAGCACCAGCAGCAGGACAAGGGCGCUGACCAGCCCAGAUAUCUGCGUCUGACACCCUGUUGACUCCUUGACGAGGGUCUUAGUCAGCGCAGCGCUGGUGGUGAAGCAGUGGAAGAACGACGGCAGGAUGUUGCAGAAGCCAAUGGCGUACAACUCCUGGUUGGCGUCCACUGUGUAGCCGUGCUUCUUGGCAAA